GGCUGGGUAGCUCAGUUGGUUAGAGCAUUGACCUAAUACCCCAACGUUGUGGGUUCUCUCCCUGGUCA
This 68-nucleotide transfer RNA is filed under the name Myotis lucifugus (little brown bat). It matches the Rfam family "tRNA". From Rfam's summary of the family: Transfer RNA (tRNA) molecules are approximately 80 nucleotides in length. Their secondary structure includes four short double-helical elements and three loops (D, anti-codon, and T loops). The record is from Rfam by way of RNAcentral. Lineage: Eukaryota; Metazoa; Chordata; Mammalia; Chiroptera; Vespertilionidae.